Long non-coding RNA from Daphnia magna, 778 nucleotides. RefSeq lists it as uncharacterized. NCBI's taxonomy places the organism in Eukaryota, Metazoa, Arthropoda, Branchiopoda, Diplostraca, Daphniidae. The transcript is spliced from 3 exons. The record is from RefSeq and is a predicted model, not a curated record.
UGUUGUUAUUUUAGGACGCCUUCGGUCAUUCAAUGAAAUUGCCAUUCCAGGGGAAGUAGAGCUACGUGUUUAACUUUCUCGUCAUUUUGUUUGACGUAUAUACAAGCGUCUCUAUCGCAAAGAAUCGUUGCAUUCAAGAAAAAAUAGGUUGCCGAUCUGUUCAACAUGUCAAGAAAGAAAAACAAGUGGCUUGGCGAUAACGUCAGAAACUGGCGAGCAAAGAGAACGAAGUUAUAUCGACGAUUGAAUCUAGAUUCCUUUCCAUGUUGCGUCGAUGGUGAAUAUCGUCUGGACUGUUUCUUUGCUCUCGAUUUUUCCAGUGCAAGAAGACGGGUAGUUCAAAUGCAGGUCUGCUCGAACAAUAACAUCAAAAAGCAGUAAGUGUUUUUAGUCGAUCAAGAGUGUUAUCAUAUCAAGCAGCCGUGACAAGAUUAUCAGUGCUGGAUUAUCGGUGAAAAAGCAGAUCUUAUUUUUAUCUCAGUCAUUUGGAGCCGUUGUCUCAUGGAUGUAUCAGUUGACAUCGAACGACGUCUAGCAAAUUUGUUUGUCCAAGUCACGAGACUGAUAAAAAGAGAGAAGCAUGACAUGUUUUUUUUUAAAGCAGCUAUUAAAAGAAAAUAAUAAGCCCCACAAAAUUGCAAAUAUGCGUACAAUUGGCUAUGGUUUAACAAGAGGGACAAUCGAAAUAGCCAAAUGAUUCACUCGCCACGUCUUUUAUUUUGAAAUAGAUUGUGAACGAACCUGGUUAAUAACAUUGUAAUAAAAGAAUUGCCUGUCA